AAUCAACGCUGGCGGCGUGCCUCAGACAUGCAAGUCGAACGAUUAAAGCUCUCUUCGGAGAGUGUAUAGAGUGGCGCACGGGUGAGUAACACGUAAGUAAUCUACCCUCGAGUGGGGAAUAACGUCCGGAAACGGACGCUAAUACCGCAUAAUGCAGCGGCACCGCAAGGUGACAGUUGUUAAAGGAGAAAUUCGCUUGAGGAGGAGCUUGCGGCAGAUAGCUUGUUGGUAAGGUAACGGCUUACCAAGGCUACGAUCUGUAACCGGUCUUAGAGGACGGUCGGUCACACUGACACUGAAUAACGGGUCAGACUCC
RNAcentral lists this ribosomal RNA (316 nucleotides) under uncultured bacterium. RNAcentral's name for it is "bacterial SSU rRNA". It matches the Rfam family "Bacterial small subunit ribosomal RNA", at positions 32 to 339 of the family's 1533-position model. The record is from RNAcentral.